RNAcentral lists this ribosomal RNA (683 nucleotides) under uncultured bacterium. Its description in RNAcentral is "bacterial SSU rRNA". It matches the Rfam family "Bacterial small subunit ribosomal RNA", at positions 104 to 805 of the family's 1533-position model. The record is from RNAcentral.
GGGUGAGUAACGCGUGGGUAACCUGCCUUGCACUGGGGGAUAACACUUAGAAAUAGGUGCUAAUACCGCAUAAGCGCACAGAACCGCAUGGUUCGGUGCGAAAAACUCCGGUGGUGUAAGAUGGACCCGCGUCUGAUUAGCUGGUUGGCGAGGUAACGGCUCACCAAGGCGACGAUCAGUAGCCGGCCUGAGAGGGUGAACGGCCACAUUGGGACUGAGACACGGCCCAAACUCCUACGGGAGGCAGCAGUGGGGAAUAUUGCACAAUGGGGGAAACCCUGAUGCAGCAACGCCACGUGAGUGAAGAAGUCAUUCGUGAUGUAAAGCUCUAUCAGCAGGGAAGAAAAUGACGGUACCUGACUAAGAAGCCCCGGCUAACUACGUGCCAGCAGCCGCGGUAAUACGUAGGGGGCAAGCGUUAUCCGGAUUUACUGGGUGUAAAGGGAGCGUAGACGGCGACGCAAGUCUGAAGUGAAAUGCCAGUGCUCAACACUGGAACUGCUUUGGAAACUGUGUAGCUAGAGUGCAGGAGAGGUAAGUGGAAUUCCUAGUGUAGCGGUGAAAUGCGUAGAUAUUAGGAGGAACACCAGUGGCGAAGGCGGCUUACUGGACUGUAACUGACGUUGAGGCUCGAAGGCGUGGGGAGCAAACAGGAUUAGAUACCCUGGUAGUCCACGCGGUAA